Long non-coding RNA from Paramisgurnus dabryanus, 3448 nucleotides. RefSeq lists it as uncharacterized. The record is from RefSeq and is a predicted model, not a curated record. Lineage: Eukaryota; Metazoa; Chordata; Actinopteri; Cypriniformes; Cobitidae.
UGGCUUUAUGACCUACACGGCACCCCGCCACUAGAGGGCGAUAGAAAUAUUGGCUUCACUCACCGUGACUCCCUUGCUAUCGGUCAUAUCGAUCACUGCUGUUAAGAAGACAAGCUGAUUUUCUGCUGGAUGGUGAAGAUGCAAACCAACAACGUUGUCAGAGUAAAGUUCAAAGACAGCAAGAAAUAUAUUUUCUCUUCACAACCAUUUCACACAUUUUUUGAAUGUGUUGUCAAGAAGUUUAAUCUUCCUACAAUGAAUGUCUUUGAUGACUUAAAGACAGAGGUUGAUGAGGAAUAAUAUCUGAUGACAUGACCAGACUUUGGUGUCCUAGAAAUCUUCAUCCCACAAAGCACAACAAGCCUUGAUGAUUAUUUAUCUAAUACUGAGGGCACGUCAGAGUCUGAUUGGACCGCAGUGUUGAUUAGAAAUCCUCCUGAAAAAAAUCAAGCCGAGGAACGUCAUCUAGUCCAGAUGAUCGAAAAUAUCCUAAAGGGCAGCCCUGGAGGCGGGAAGGUCAUAAAGGAAUACCCUCACACAAAGUCUUUCAGAUGGCCGCAGACGUGACAUGGUGAAAAUCUUGCUAGCACAUUUAACAAAGGAACAUAGAUCUUGCCCUUACCGAAGUUUGAAGGAAGAAUGUGCAAAAAGGGUAUUAUCUCCAUGUUCCCAUGCUUUGCUGACCCCAGGAGCAAGCUUAGUUAUGAGCAUUAUUACAAUGCAGAAGAUGGAAGUGGAUAUUUGGUGUGGAGAAUUAAAACUUUCCAAAAAGAAGCAUCAGAGGGAUGGAUAAAACGCCCACGGCAACCACAAACGGGUGCAUGAUUUGCAGAUUGAUGAAGAUUUUGGACUUCUAUUUGGUGAGGCGACCGCUGCAAAGUUGUUGGAGAAGUGGUCUACCAACAUAAAACCAAAGGUUAUUGCACAGACCCGUGGCCUCACACAGACUUGUAAGCAUCCAAAAUGCUGAAGCCACUGAAGUUGAAGAUGGUAACUAUUGUGCUAUACAAGUUAUGAUUCAUGAAGAAUGGCUUUGGAUCUAUAGUUUCAAUUGAAGUCACAAUGUUACCCAUCAGACAUGCAUUAUUCAUAUGCAGCACAGAUUUAAAGGAACAGUAUGUAGGAUUGUGGCCAAAACUGGUAUUGCAAUCACAAAACGUGUGGCUAAAACUGGUACUGCAAUCACACAGCUGGUGGCCAAUAUACCAAACGACAAUAUAAACAUCAGUUGAGGGCUGCAACUCCACUUUUUAAAUGACAAUAUCUUGGCCGGACCGCUGUUGUGAGUGAUAUGAGUAUUUGAAAUGAAAAUGAUUUCUUAAUGUCUAGUGACAUUUCAGGGCCAUUUAAUGAUUAAUUGAUAUAAAUUUCUUACAUACUGUUCCUUUAAGUAAAUAAUCAGAAUAAAAAUUACCGGUUUCUUUUAACAUUUCUACCUUGACCUUAGUGAUAUUAAAAUGAGGUCAUACAGUUAAACUUUAUUUACAACAUAUAAUCCAUGCUUUUGUUAUUUAGAGUCCCAAAUGAAAACAAUUUUAAACUGUAAAUCUUCAACUCGCGUACUAGGCCCUUGUGAAAACCCAUCUGAAAGUGCUCUAUUUUUACACACUAAUUUUGUACUUUAUUUUCAAAAAAAAUAUUCUUCUUUAGUACUUCUUAAAGAAAAUCUUAAGACCAUCUAAGUAUACGUGUCUGUACUAUUUUGAGACACCAUGAAUAUGAACUUAAAUGUGCUUAAAAUAUAUUUAAAAAAUGUAUUUAGGUACUGCUUGUAGUAAACUUAAACCCAUCUUUCAUACAAACAAGUGGUAAAUAAAUAAAUGUUUUAAAUAUAUUUUAGGCACAUUUUAGUUAAUAUUCAUGGUGUCUCAAAAAUCAUUUUUAAGUUUAUUAAGUACAAAAUUAGUGUGCGAAAAGAGAGCACUUUCAGUACAUUAUUGAAGUGUACUUCUUUUCAGCUGGGUUUUCACAAGGGCCUAGUACGUGAGUUGCAGAUUUACACUUUUAAAUUGUUUUAAUUUGGGACUCUGAUAACAAACGUAUGGUUUAUAUAUUGUAAAUUAAGUUUAAAGGGGACAUAUCAUGAAAAUCAGACUUUUUCCAUGUUUAAGUGCUAUGAUUGGGUCCCCAGUGCUUCUAUCAACAGAGAAAAUGUAAAAAAGAUCAACCCAGUAACUUAGUUUUGAUAAACCAUUCUUUGCAAGCAUGUGAAAAAAUAGCUCAUUGAAAUUUGGCUCCCCUUGUGAUGUAAGAAGGGGAUCUUAUUAUAAUAAUACCACCUCUUAAUCUGCACUAUUCAACCACUGCCAUUUAGUGCAGCUCAUUUGCAUUUAAAAGGACACACCCAACAACUGCAACUUUUUGUUACAACAUGUUACAAUAAAUUGUCUAUAUGGUAUUUUGAGCUAGAACUUCACAUACAUACUCUGGGACAGCAUACUCUGUUUCUGCUUUGUUUAUUGUACCAUAUUAUUUCAUGUAAUUCUUUAUCUCCUCUGUUGUAUUAUCACUAUUUAUAUUAUUUUAGUGUUGUUGUCAUGAAUUGUAAAAAUGCUGUUAAGAGGCUUGACAAAUAAAAUGUAUAAUAGAUGCUGUUUUUAGCAAGAUAAUAAAAUUUUACUGAAAUUACAGGUUUGUUUCAGACUGAUGUUUUUCAUUUUCGAGCUGUUUAAUGGUAAAACGUGAAUUUUGUAAUUCAGAAGAAUAACUCUGGACAGAGUUGGUUAUUUUUUGUAGUUCACUCAUAAUUGAUGAAAAACAGCUCAGGAGGGGAAGUAAAUUGUGGCAGAGUAAAUCUGAAAUUACUCUAAAUAGGGUUAAAUUGUUACGGAGUCAAUUUUUUUUAGCUCUGAACCGAGUAAAAUGGUACUAGAGUUGUUUUUAAAAAACACUACAUAGAGUCAAAUAUCAUAUGACAGAGUAAAAUUUUAACACUACAUUGAGCAUAAUUAACUCUAAAAAUACAACUCUAUCAAAAGAGUAACUUUUACUCUUUUUAGAGAGGGACCAAAUGUUAUCUGUUAUAGAGUAAAAUUUUCUUCAAAUUGAGUAAAUUUUACUCUGGCAAAUUUCCUGUGCAGAGAGCCAAAUGUCAACGACCUAUCUUUUCAUGUGCUUGUAGAGAAUGGUUUACCAAAACUAAGUUACUGAUGAUCUUUUUACAUUUUCUAGGUUUAUAGAAGCACUGGGGACCCAAUAAUAGCACUUAAACAUGGAAAAAGUCAGAUUUUCAUGCCAUGGCCCCUUUAUUAAAUAACAAGCACACCAAGCUUUGUGCCUCACUGAUUAUCAAGCAUUAAAAACACCCAUUGACAUGUGCCUAAAAAGCGUGUUUUACUUCAUGAGGUGCUGCAGAGCCCAAACACCCGCGUUGUGGAUCUGACUGACCGGACAAUGCUGUCUUGUAUCACUUUACAGGGGAUUGGAAGGAGAUUUUGAACAAUUUAAG